AACGCGAAGAACCUUACCUGGGCUCGAACGGCUAGUGACAGGCGGCGAAAGUCGUUUUUCCCGCAAGGGACACUAGUCGAGGUGCUGCAUGGCUGUCGUCAGCUCGUGUCGUGAGAUGUUGGGUUAAGUCCCGCAACGAGCGCAACCCUCGCCUUUAGUUGCCAUCAUUAAGUUGGGCACUCUAGAGGGACCGCCGGCGACAAGCCGGAGGAAGGUGGGGAUGACGUCAAGUCCUCAUGGCCCUUACACCCUGGGCUACACACGUGCUACAAUGGUGGUGACAGUGGGCAGCUACUCCGCGAGGAGCGGCUAAUCUCAAAAAACCACCCCAGUUCAGAUUGUACUCUGCAACUCGAGUACAUGAAGGUGGAAUCGCUAGUAAUCGCAGAACAGCAGGCUGCGGUGAAUACGUUCCCGGGCCUUGUACACACCGAGACGAC
This 440-nucleotide ribosomal RNA is filed under the name uncultured bacterium. RNAcentral describes it as "bacterial SSU rRNA". It matches the Rfam family "Bacterial small subunit ribosomal RNA", at positions 958 to 1398 of the family's 1533-position model. The record is from RNAcentral.